GUGGGGAAUCUUGCGCAAUGGAGGCAACUCUGACGCAGCCAUGCCGCGUGCAGGAAGAAGGCGCUACGCGUUGUAAACUGCUUUUAACCGGGAAGAAACCCCAGGACGUGUCCUGGGUUGACGGUACCGGAGGAAUAAGCACCGGCUAACUUCGUGCCAGCAGCCGCGGUAAUACGAAGGGUGCAAGCGUUAUCCGGAUUCAUUGGGUUUAAAGGGUGCGUAGGCGGAGCGUUAAGUCAGUGGUGAAAUCCUGCAGCUUAACUGUAGACUUGCCAUUGAUACUGGCGCUCUUGAGUGCGCUUGAAGUGGGCGGAAUGUGCCGUGUAGCGGUGAAAUGCUUAGAUAUGGCACAGAACACCAAUUGCGAAGGCAGCUCACUAAGGCGAUACUGACGCUGAGGCACGAAAGCGUGGGGAUCGAACAGGAUUAGAUACCCUUGUAGUCC
This 445-nucleotide ribosomal RNA is filed under the name uncultured bacterium. Its description in RNAcentral is "partial 16S ribosomal RNA". It matches the Rfam family "Bacterial small subunit ribosomal RNA", at positions 354 to 796 of the family's 1533-position model. The record is from RNAcentral.